CCUACGGGAGGCUGCAGUGGGGAAUAUUGGGCAAUGGGCGCAAGCCUGACCCAGCAACGCAGCGUGAAGGAAGAAGGCUUUCGGGUUGUACACUUCUUUUAUCAGGGACGAAGCAAGUGACGGUACCUGAUGAAUACGCCUCGGCUAACUACGUGCCAGCAGCCGCGGUAAUACGUAGGUGGCAAGCGUUAUCCGGAUUUACUGGGUGUAAAGGGCGUGUAGGCGGGAGUGCAAGUCAGAUGUGAAACCUAUGGGCUCAACCCAUAGACUGCAUUUGAAACUGUCCUUCUUGAGUGCUGUAGAGGCAAGCGGAAUGCCGUGUGUAGCGGUGAAAUGCGUAGAUAUACGGAGGAACACCAGUGGCGAAGGCGGAUUGCUAGACAGUAACUGACGCUGAGGCGCGAAAGCGUGGGGAGCAAACAGGAUUAGAUACCCGAGUAGUC
This 443-nucleotide ribosomal RNA is filed under the name uncultured bacterium. RNAcentral describes it as "partial 16S ribosomal RNA". It matches the Rfam family "Bacterial small subunit ribosomal RNA", at positions 338 to 795 of the family's 1533-position model. The record is from RNAcentral.